UUUCCGUAGGUGAACCUGCGGAAGGAUCAUUAUUGAAACUUCAUCCGGGGCGCCGCGGCCCUCAGCACCGGUGGAAACGCCGUGCUGCGGGGGCCGCGCGUGCACUAGUCCAAACCAAACCCCUGUGAACCUUACGGGAUGGCCCGGGUUAGCGCCCGGUGCCGUUCCGCUUUAUACAAACACUUAUCAAAGAAUGAACUGAAGGCGGUCUGACCGCUGGAUAACAAACUGAAACAACUUUCAACAACGGAUCUCUUGGCUCUC
RNAcentral lists this unclassified non-coding RNA (264 nucleotides) under plant metagenome. RNAcentral describes it as "partial contains small subunit ribosomal RNA, internal transcribed spacer 1, and 5.8S ribosomal RNA". The record is from RNAcentral.